GAUGAACGCUGGCGGCGUGCCUAAUACAUGCAAGUCGAGCGAACGGACGAGAAGCUUGCUUCUCUGAUGUUAGCGGCGGACGGGUGAGUAACACGUGGAUAACCUACCUAUAAGACUGGGAUAACUUCGGGAAACCGUAGCUAAUACCGGAUAAUAUUUUGAACCGCAUGGUUCAAAAGUGAAAGACGGUCUUGCUGGCACUUAUAGAUGGAGCCGCGCUGCAUUAGCUAGUUGGUAAGGUAACGGCUUACCAAGGCAACGAUGCAUAGCCGACCUGAGAGGGUGAUCGGCCACACUGGAACUGAGACACGGUCCAGACUCCUACGGGAGGCAGCAGUAGGGAAUCUUCCGCAAUGGGCGAAAGCCUGAUGGGCCAACGCCCCGUGAGUGAUGAAGGUCUUCGGAUCGUAAAACUCUGUUAUUAGGGAAGAACUUAUGUGUAAGUAACUGUGCACAUCUUGACGGUACCUAAUCAGAAAGCCACGGCUAACUACGUG
This 497-nucleotide ribosomal RNA is filed under the name uncultured bacterium. RNAcentral describes it as "partial 16S ribosomal RNA". It matches the Rfam family "Bacterial small subunit ribosomal RNA", at positions 28 to 507 of the family's 1533-position model. The record is from RNAcentral.